Dermochelys coriacea (leatherback sea turtle) is the source of this 3034-nucleotide long non-coding RNA. RefSeq lists it as uncharacterized. The record is from RefSeq and is a predicted model, not a curated record. The transcript has 9 exons. Lineage: Eukaryota; Metazoa; Chordata; Testudines; Dermochelyidae.
UAGUUUUCUCCACCCACUACUUAGUGAGAACUCCUUAACUAGAAGACUAACAACUUAAAGCUUUAUCCCUGUGAGUACCAGAAAAGUGAUCUGAGUAUUUAUUAAACAGAGAGAACAAACUGCCUACUUCAGGCAGGGAGGAAGCGUAUGGAAAUUAUAUUAGAACUUCAGCAAAGUGCAGAGCUGCAUAAUACAGAAGCUGGGACUCAAACUGACAGGCUAAUAAGCCAGCUCACUGAAGGGGGCUCUGUGUGGCAGCUCUGAGCUACUGAGUGUUGGACAACUGUAGGCAAAAUGUGAAAUGGAACAGGGCAGAAAAUAACACACUAACUUCAGGCAACUGUUGCUUUCUCAUGGUCUUCAGGGAUUUUACACUGUGUAGCUGGCAAAACAAGUCCCCAUUUAAAUACUAAGCUUACUACCCAAAUGGAAAACUCAGCUGCUGGAAUCCAUAUUGAGGACUUGUAUCAUGGCCAUAAUACUGUGAAGUGCUUGUUCCCUGGAACUCCCAGAGCCCGUUCAGCAUGACACUUUGCUUUGCUGGUGAUGUCACAUGCAGCAAUGACUAUAAUUGGAGAAUGGAACCUGUCUGUGGGGGCAAGGUGUAUGGCUGCCGUUAUGACUUUUCCAAAAAGAUCCUUUUUGUUUCAUAGAUUAGGGAGCCAGACAAGACAAUUUUAGACACACACUUAUUGUGAUAUCCUCAGUGCUUGUUAUCGUAUAUUCUUCAGAGGUCUGCCCACUAUGAUAAAUUGUACAGAGCAAGGAAAAAUUAAAACGGAAAUGAAAAAUGAAGAAGUUGGUUAUACCAGAAAUCAGUGAAGCUGAACCGCUUCCUGAAGAGCACAGAAUUUUCUAUACCAGAUUCUACUUCAGUGGCCAGGACCUUUAUGGCCACUGAUUCUUUUGCUCUGGGUUCUGAAAAAACAUCGUGGAUCCAUCCCUAAAGUAGAAAUGUUAUUUUCCGUCCCGCAAGCAAGGCUAAAGAUUGGAGGAGAAUGAAUGUGAAUCUAAUUCAGGAUUGCGGUCGUGCCAUUAAAAGUUUUCAGCUUCAGAACAAAAUCAUUUGGGAAAUAUCAGUUUUCUUACUCUAUCGACAAUGUUUAAAAGUUGUAGGUGGUUCAAAUGACUUGACUCAAAUAAUGACAAUCUUUGCAUGUCAAUAAUUUCUACAGUUUAAGGAGUGAAAGGUAGUUUUGAGUUUGGAAAAGAAGAAGCUGUUAAUAUCAGCCUGUAGUGGGAUUAAAUGUUGAAUAUGGGGAAGAGGCAAAAAGUAAAUAGAUGCCCAAAACUUAUCCUUGCAGUGAGGAUGGUUUUAAACUGCUGUAUAUCCUAGGGCCCACCUUACUGUAGAUGUAUAAUGGGAAAAUAUUUCAAUUAGAAACCCAUUAACAAGCAUUUAAUCCUUCUUUAAGGCAUUAGAGGAAAUAGAAUAAAACAUUUACUGUACAAAUCUGCUGCAAGCAGACUUUAACCCACUUAUAGACUUAUCCUUCUGAUGUAUUAUACUAUGGCUACUCAUGAAUCAGAAUAGUAAACAUUUUAUUUGUACUCCUUUUUUCCAAAGUUGUGGAAUCUAUUCUAAGAAGUGUCUCGAUCAAUCAGCUGAUAUUAUUGUUUUGAAUGUAUGUGUCUAUAUUGCCUACUUAUUUGAUCUUUUCCAACCCCGACUUGAAAAGGUGGGGUUUUUUAUACAACAGCAACAAAAGUUUUAUUGAAUGUAAUCUUGACAACUAAGUGAUUCAGAUUAUUUGAAGACGAAUUCUACUGGAUCAUAUCGGACUUUUCCUAGUCCCUGAGACCCUAACUUGUGAGGUCUUUUAGCAACAAUCACAAGUCAGGCUCUUGGGACCUAGGCGGAGGGGAACCAGCAGCUUUGGACUUUAUUGAUUGUUUAUCUGCAAUAUUAACAGAACCAAAGGAGAUUUUCUUAUCUGGGGGAAAAUAUUUAUUUCAGAUGUUAAGCACUAGUUUUAUGCUACAAAAAAAAAUGAUGCUAUGUAUUGUACAAUAUUAAGAUUCUACAUAAUUUUGUAUAUUUGGAAACCUAUAUUGAAGUGGAUAACAUGUAACAUUUAGAAUUAAAAUGUAAAUGAAUGACAUAUCUACAUGAAAAAUCAAGUACUGAAGGAUAAAUGCACUGUUUUCAACCAUAUUUUGCUAUUAUGGAUUCUUCUGGUGGAUAAUCAAAACAAAACACAUUUCCAAAUGUAUUGCUAUAAUAUUUAAUGAACUUUUUGAAACUUACAGAUUAUACAUUGAUCUGUGAGGCCUAGCAAAUGGAUUCAUACUGUUGUCUUUGGGGUAAUAAUCUAAGCGUACAAGAAAACUGUUGCUUCUCUUUUCCUGUAAGGCAGUGCAGAGAUUCCUUUAUAUUUGUUACUAUUUCUCUUAAUCUAUAUAAUAAUACAAUAAAGAUUCUCUCAUUUGGUGUAUUAACCCUUACUCUGAAAGAAAAGAGAAAGCUGGUGUCAAAUUCAUAAUCCUGUGUUGAAGUCACUUUGCACACAGAACUACAUACUUUUCAUGUACAUACUGUAUCUCAGCAGAGAAGACAGGAUACCGGGAAUUAAGCUCAAACUUUCAUCUCUUCCCUCACUUUUACUUUUCACUUAUAAAAACAGACUAACUGUUGUGUUGUCCCCAUAUGCUGAAUACUUCAGUGACUUCAACAUGAGAUCUGCCAGGACACAGAUAAUUUGUAAUGUCUAUCACUUCUAAAGUGCUGAGCCAGAACACAGAGAAUUUGACUGUAUUUCUUAAUAUUUUAUAAGUAGUUUGGACCUGAUUAUUUUUUUUUUUCAAUUUCUUGUAUCUAACCCAAGAUGGUACAGCACCCUGUUAUUAGUGUACUAAUGUCACACUUCACUGAUUGAAACAAAUGCUUUACUUAGGGCGAGCAUCUAAACAAUUUGGUCAUUUUGAAACUGAUAUUUUGGCUCCAGUUUAUUUUUUCCACAUAUGUGGGAGGAAUUGUGUUUCAUUGUAACGCUGUUGUUAAAAUAAAUUAUUAUUAAACAUCAGAAUAAUUCAA